RNA transcript from Eutrema salsugineum, 1702 nucleotides. It is a transcript of the gene named protein SRG1, with no coding region annotated. The record is from RefSeq and is a predicted model, not a curated record. NCBI's taxonomy places the organism in Eukaryota, Viridiplantae, Streptophyta, Magnoliopsida, Brassicales, Brassicaceae. The transcript has 6 exons.
UUUUGUUGUAGCAAAGCAACGAGGUUAAAAAAGGCUAUUUUGUAAUUUCGAGUAUUCUUGGAGUGUAUUAUUGGUAUUUUCAGAGGAUUAAAGACUUUAAAGUUAAUUUGUUUUGGUGCUGGAAAUCCAUGGAGGCCGAAGGAGAAAGACAGUGGAGUUCUCUCAUAGUACCUUGUGUUCUAGAGAUGGUUAAAGAGCAAAACUUGACGACCGUUCCUCCGAGGUAUGUUCGGUCUGAUCAAGAAACAUCUGAGAAUUUAGAUGAUUCUAGUAUGAGUUCCGAGAUUCCAGUCAUCGACAUGAAACGCUUGUAUUCUGUUUCCACCAUGGAUUCCGAGCUCGAGAAACUCGAUUUCGCUUGCCAAGAUUGGGGAUUUUUUCAACUUGUAAACCAUGGAAUAGAUUCGUCUUUCUUGGACAAACUGGAGACCGAGGUUCAAGAUUUCUUUAACCUCCCCAUGGAAGAGAAGCAGAAGUUUUGGCAGAGAAGUGGUGAAUUCGAAGGAUUCGGACAAGUGAAUGUUGUGUCCGAGGAUCAGAAACUGGACUGGGGAGAUAUGUUCAUCCUCACCACUGAACCAAUUCGAUCUCGCAAAUCUCACUUGUUCUCCAAAUUACCUCCUUCUUUCAGAGAAACUGUAGAGACUUACUCCUCUGAAGUGAAGAGCAUAGCUAAGAUCCUCUUUGCGAAAAUGGCGAGUGUUCUUGAGAUCAAACGCGAAGAAAUGGAAGAUCUGUUUGAAGAUGUUUGGCAAUCUAUCAAGAUUAAUUACUAUCCGCCAUGUCCACAGCCAGAUCAAGUUGUCGGUUUGACUCCACAUUCAGACGCCGCAGGUCUCACAAUACUAUUACAGGUGAAUCAAGUGGAAGGACUCCAGAUCAAGAAAGACGGCAAGUGGGUUGUUGUGAAACCUCUUCGAAAUGCUUUAGUUGUUAAUGUUGGGGAAAUCUUAGAGAUCAUAACAAACGGGAGGUAUCGAAGCAUCGAGCAUAGAGUGGUGGUGAAUUCAGAGAAGGAGAGGUUAUCGGUUGCGAUGUUUCAUAGUCCGGGAAAGGAGACAAUCAUUGGUCCAGCGAAAAGCCUUGUAGAAAAGCAGAAGCAACGUUUAUUCAAAAGUAUGAGCACACAAGACUACUUUGAUGCCUUCUUUGCUCAGAAGCUCAAUGGCAAAUCUCACCUUCAUCUUAUGACUAUUUAAGGACUGGACCCUCAUAAACUCCAUGUUUCCAGCAAUACAUAGGUUCUUUUUAAAUGAAAGUUAAAUUUGACUUAUAACGUCAAUCCAAAAGGAGGGUCAUUGGCUGUUUAGUGUAGUGUUGGGUGGACGCGAAGCAGCAGAUUAUAGCAUUUCUCUCUUCCCCACAAACUCAACCAGUAAACCACCGGAAGAAGAUACCAACCGUUAUUGUAAACAGCCGUCGGAGAAGCACAAAAUACGCGAAACGCGAGGCAAACAAGAGAAGUCGAAGGAUCAAUUCAUCACGUCUCUUUUAGCUAAUCGAUGGGUUUUUGUUGGUGACAAAGGGAUUUCUCUGUUUCUCGGUGUUUUCUGGGUUUUAAGGGUUUCGUUUACAAGUCGAGCUUUUUGGAGGAGAGUAAUGGCGGGUGUUUCUGCAAUCGAGAUGAAUAAAUACUCUCUGUUGAAGGAUUUUAAUGUUGAUGUUGAAGUAGAAGACGAAGAGUACGAGACUUUCUCUCUUU